RNAcentral lists this ribosomal RNA (460 nucleotides) under uncultured bacterium. RNAcentral's name for it is "partial 16S ribosomal RNA". It matches the Rfam family "Bacterial small subunit ribosomal RNA", at positions 338 to 795 of the family's 1533-position model. The record is from RNAcentral.
CCUACGGGUGGCAGCAGUGAGGAAUAUUGGUCAAUGGGCGCGAGCCUGAACCAGCCAAGUCGCGUGAGGGAGGACGGCCCUACGGGUUGUAAACCUCUUUUGCCGGGGAGCAACGGGCGCCACGUGUGGCGUCACUGAGAGUACCCGGAGAAAAAGCAUCGGCAAACUCCGUGCCAGCAGCCGCGGUAAUACGGGGGAUGCGAGCGUUAUCCGGAUUUAUUGGGUUUAAGGGGUGCGUAGGCGGAUCGUUAAGUCAGUGGUCAAAUUGGGGGGCUAAACCCCUUACCGCCAUUGAAACUGGCGUUCUUGAGUGGAAGAGAAGUAUGCGGAAUGCGUGGUGUAGCGGUGAAAUGCAUAGAUAUCACGCAGAACCCCGAUUGCGAAGGCAGCAUGCCGGCUUCCGACUGACGCUGAAGCACGAAAGCAUGGGGAUCGAACAGGAUUAGAUACCCUGGUAGUC